ACGACCAUACCCACUGGAAUAUACGGGAUCCCGUCCGCUCUCCCCUAGUCAAACCAGUGAGGGCCGAACUAGUACUCAGGUGGGUGACCGCUGGGGAAUCCUCGGUGUUGUAUGUU
This 116-nucleotide ribosomal RNA is filed under the name Pyricularia oryzae 70-15. The record is from RNAcentral. Lineage: Eukaryota; Fungi; Ascomycota; Sordariomycetes; Magnaporthales; Pyriculariaceae.